GCGCUGACGCUAGCGGGAUGCCUUACACAUGCAAGUCGAACGGCAGCACGGACUUCGGUCUGGUGGCGAGUGGCGAACGGGUGAGUAAUGUAUCGGAACGUGCCCAGUAGCGGGGGAUAACUACGCGAAAGCGUAGCUAAUACCGCAUACGCCCUACGGGGGAAAGCAGGGGAUCGCAAGACCUUGCACUAUUGGAGCGGCCGAUAUCGGAUUAGCUAGUUGGUGGGGUAACGGCUCACCAAGGCGACGAUCCGUAGCUGGUUUGAGAGGACGACCAGCCACACUGGGACUGAGACACGGCCCAGACUCCUACGGGAGGCAGCAGUGGGGAAUUUUGGACAAUGGGGGAAACCCUGAUCCAGCCAUCCCGCGUGUGCGAUGAAGGCCUUCGGGUUGUAAAGCACUUUUGGCAGGAAAGAAACGUCGUGGGUUAAUACCCCGCGAAACUGACGGUACCUGCAGAAUAAGCACCGGCUAACUACGUGCCAGCAGCCGCGGUAAUACGUAGGGUGCAAGCGUUAAUCGGAAUUACUGGGCGUAAAGCGUGCGCAGGCGGUUCGGAAAGAAAGAUGUGAAAUCCCAGAGCUUAACUUUGGAACUGCAUUUUUAACUACCGGGCUAGAGUGUGUCAGAGGGAGGUGGAAUUCCGCGUGUAGCAGUGAAAUGCGUAGAUAUGCGGAGGACACCGAUGGCGAAGCAGCCUCCUGGGAUAACACUGACGCUCAUGCACGAAAGCGUGGGGGAGCAAACAGAUUAGAUACCCUGGUAGUCCACGCCCUAAACGAUGUCAACUAGCUGUUGGGGCUUCGGGCUUG
Molecule: ribosomal RNA, 815 nt
Filed under: Achromobacter sp. SB41
Lineage: Bacteria; Pseudomonadati; Pseudomonadota; Betaproteobacteria; Burkholderiales; Alcaligenaceae
Description: bacterial SSU rRNA
Rfam family: Bacterial small subunit ribosomal RNA
Source: RNAcentral